Molecule: ribosomal RNA, 253 nt
Filed under: uncultured bacterium
Lineage: Bacteria
Description: partial 16S ribosomal RNA
Rfam family: Bacterial small subunit ribosomal RNA
Source: RNAcentral
UACGUAGGGUGCAAGCGUUGUCCGGAAUUAUUGGGCGUAAAGAGCUCGUAGGCGGUUCGUCACGUCGGCUGUGAAAACCUGAGGCUCAACCUCAGGCCUGCAGUCGAUACGGGCGGACUUGAGUACUGCAGGGGAGACUGGAAUUCCUGGUGUAGCGGUGGAAUGCGCAGAUAUCAGGAGGAACACCGGUGGCGAAGGCGGGUCUCUGGGCAGUAACUGACGCUGAGGAGCGAAAGCGUGGGGAGCGAACAGG